This is an RNA transcript of Coffea arabica (coffee), 2557 nucleotides long. It is a transcript of the gene named TPR repeat-containing thioredoxin TTL1, with no coding region annotated. NCBI's taxonomy places the organism in Eukaryota, Viridiplantae, Streptophyta, Magnoliopsida, Gentianales, Rubiaceae. The record is from RefSeq and is a predicted model, not a curated record.
CAAAGAUGUAUAUAUAUGUAUAUACUUCUCUUUGAUGAACUUGACCUUUCAUUGAACUCUUCUCUCUGAAGCCAUAUUGUGACUUCUUCUCCUUUAUGUGAUUUGAAAUUCUUUACAGGGCUGAAGAUUAAAAUGGUAGAUUUUAUACUGUUUGACAAAUUCAGUGAACAGCCAGUUUGUUAGAAGAGGUUUCCAUGGCAGAAACUCCAGAGAUUAGAAAGGAGGGGUGUGGACUGGUGGGAGCAAUUUUGCAACGUGGGGUGUUGAAGCCAAGAAAGACAUCAGAGUCGCCAAUUCCUCGGGACAGCAGCAAGAGAACACCUGUAAAGUUUCUGAGGUUUUAUGCUUCAAAGAGGCAAAGAGGCAGCUCGGACGAAAAUGAUAUGGCAGCCGCCAUGGACUCCUCAAUUGUAGCUAAACCUCCUCUGAAGCUAGCUGAAAAAGCACCGCGAAAACCGAGCAUGGACAGCACAAUGUUUUCCACCGCACAAGGCCACAGAACUGGACAUUCUAGUAAAAGCUCAAUGUCAUUUGUCAACAAUUCAAGUAUGAUCAGUACCUCGCAAGUAGUGAAUUCUGAGUACACUCGGAUGUUAAGGAGGGAACCAACCUUCACUUCAAGCGAGUUUAGUGUGACAAGUCACAGGAAAUCCAAUGUCAGUAGCAAGGGACAUCUGUAUCGUGCGUCCACAGGCAGUGUUAUGCUUGUAGGCCAUUUGGGAAACUUGAAGCAGAAAGGACACAAUAAAUCAUUGAGUGAUUCUGCGAAUUCUAGGACUGUUCGGAAGGGAAAUCUUAGUGGUAAAUUUGCCCCGGCCACAGCUGCAAUGGGGAACAUUCUGAAGAAGCCAACUGAAAGGAACCAUACUUCUGGUUCGUUGAAUAAGUUGGACCCUGAGGCACUGAAAUGUCUUGGUAAUGAGAAGUACCAGGAGGGAAAGUUCGAGGAGGCAUUGGACCUGUACAAUCAAGCAAUUGCUAUUGAUCCAAGCAAGGCAUCUUUCUAUAGCAACAAGAGUGCUGCUUUGAUGAGUUUAGGCAAUCUCAUUGAGGCAGUUUUUGAGUGUCAAGAGGCCAUCCGACUGGAUCCGUCGUAUCAUAAUGCUCAUUAUCGUUUGGCAAGAUUGUUUAUCAGAUUGGGAGAAGCAGGGAAAGCUAUAGAUCACUUCGAGAAAUCAGGGCGCAAGGCUAGCAGUAAGGACAUUUCCAAUGCUGAGAAUCUUGAGACACACCUAAAUAGGUGCUCCAGAGCUCGGAGACGAAAGGAUUGGGAGACAUUGCUCAAUCACAGUCAGGCUGCAAUAGCAAUGGGUGCAGAUUCAGCACAACAGAUCUAUGCUAUGCAAGCAGAGGCCUUGAUGGAACUCUUCAGGGACGACGAGGCAUACAAAGUUAAUGAUGAAGGACCUGAUUUUGACAUUGAACUUCAUACUAGGUUUCUUGGCUCAGCUGAAACUGCUAAGUUAUUGGUAGUUCGAUCUAAGAUCUUCAUGGCUGCAGGCAGGUUUGAGGAUGCUGUGGCUGCUGCAAGACACGCAGCACGACUUGAUUCCAGUGAUGAUGUGAAAUCACUUGUAAAGAAGGUUGAUUUUGUUGCAUCAACACGGAUAAAGGGAAACAGGCUUUUCAAUGCAUCAAGGUAUGCUGAGGCUUCUCUUGCAUAUACUUCAGCACUAGAGGAAGUGCCAUACAACUCUGUCUUGCUUUGCAAUAGAGCAGCUUGCCGAUCUAAACUGGGACAAUAUGAGAAAGCAGUUGAAGAUUGUACAGAGGCCCUUAAAGUGCGACCUUCGUAUAGCAAAGCCAGGUUGCGAAGGGCGGAUAGCAACGCUAAGCUUGAAAGAUGGGAGGCAGCACUGGAAGAUUAUGAGACGCUGAUGCACGUAGUUCCCGGGGAUGAGGAGGUAACAAAGGGAUUCCAAGAAGCAAGAAAGCAGGUGAAAAAGCAGCACAACUAUGAGGUAGAAAAGCCAAGAACCAGUUCUGAUUUGAAGUCAGUCAUUAGCAACAAGCCAGUGGGAAAAAUUCUCACAGCAGCCGAGUUCUAUGGUAGUAGUACCAGCUUCAAGCUCUCAAAUGGGAUUGAUUUUGAUACCAGCAGUGGAGCAAAUUGUGCUGCUGCUACUAGUACUACUGAAUUCGGCCGCUCUGUGACAACCUUGAGAGAAAUUUUCACCCAUUAAAAGGUUUGUAAUUUAUGCGUCAAAGACCCCAAACUUAGGCGGAUCAAACUUUGAGACUACAAGAAAUGUAGCAAUAGUACGGUUCUGGAUGCUAAGAGAAUCCAAUACAUGAGCAAUUUAGAAACUGUGGAGAUUAAAGAAGUAAAGGAAACCGUCAGACAUUAAGUGGAAGUUUGUAUAUAUUUCCUCAAUUUUUUUUUUUUUUUUUUUUGGGUGUGUAUCUUUUCACCUUGAGUACACUUUCAUGUCUUCUAUUCUAUUCUUUCUAUUAGUUGUUUGAGAAUAUUAAGCUAAUUAUUAGUCAAUUUCGAUUAUUCAAUUCAUCAAAUGUUUGUUUGCAUUCAUUUUAUAAACUGUUUCUGAUUGUUGAUUGC